GUAUAUUGUAUGUGUGUCAAAUUCUUAAAAUCCUUGUUAUUUGCAAACCUCCCAAGUGUCCCUAUUUAGGGCCCAAAUCCCUCUGUGCCUAUUUUCUCUCCUAAUGUCUCUUUUCUUGGAGCUCCAUAUUAUGUGAGUGUAUAACAGAGCUCCACAGCAAUAAUACUCCCAGUAAUGUGUCUGAGUGUAUAACAGAGCUCCACAGCAAUAAUACUCCCAGUAAUGUGCCUGAAUGUAUAACAGAGCUCCACAGCAAUAAUACUCCCAGUAAUGUGCCUGAAUGUAUAACAGAGCUCCACGGCAAUAAUACUCCCCUCUAGUGCAUGCUCUCAGUAAGAAUGGACGGUUUGUAUAUAUUAGUCAGUAGCCUAAAAUAUCUCAGAACAGCCCCACCCCUG
Pelobates cultripes (western spadefoot toad) is the source of this 398-nucleotide non-coding RNA. The record is from the annotation of a GenBank genome assembly. NCBI's taxonomy places the organism in Eukaryota, Metazoa, Chordata, Amphibia, Anura, Pelobatidae.